GCCCGGCUGGCACAAUUGGUUAGCGCGUGAGACUCUUAAUCUCAAGGUUGUGGGUUCGAGUGAGUAGUCCGCUCUGUGCU
Lophiostoma macrostomum CBS 122681 is the source of this 80-nucleotide non-coding RNA. NCBI's taxonomy places the organism in Eukaryota, Fungi, Ascomycota, Dothideomycetes, Pleosporales, Lophiostomataceae. The record is from the annotation of a GenBank genome assembly.